RNAcentral lists this transfer RNA (86 nucleotides) under Rhodocyclaceae bacterium. RNAcentral's name for it is "tRNA-Leu". It matches the Rfam family "tRNA". From Rfam's summary of the family: Transfer RNA (tRNA) molecules are approximately 80 nucleotides in length. Their secondary structure includes four short double-helical elements and three loops (D, anti-codon, and T loops). Lineage: Bacteria; Pseudomonadati; Pseudomonadota; Betaproteobacteria; Rhodocyclales; Rhodocyclaceae. RNAcentral also lists the same sequence under 1 other name. The record is from RNAcentral.
GCCCGGAUGGUGAAAUUGGUAGACACAAGGGACUUAAAAUCCCUCGGCCUUCGGCCGUGCGGGUUCGAUUCCCGCUCCGGGCACCA